CGGAGGGUGCAAGCGUUGUCCGGAUUCAUUGGGUUUAAAGGGUGCGUAGGCGGCCUGGUAAGUCAGCGGUGAAAUACCCACGCUCAACGUGGGAACUGCCGUUGAUACUGCCGGGCUUGAGUUCGUCCGAGGUCGCUGGAAUGCGUGGUGUAGCGGUGAAAUGCAUAGAUAUCACGCAGAACACCGAUUGCGAAGGCAGGUGACUGGGACGCGACUGACGCUGAGGCACGAAAGUGUGGGGAGCAAACAGGAUUAGAUACCCUGGUAGUCCACACCGUAAACGAUGGAUACUAGGUGUCCGGGACUUCGGUCCUGGGUGCCCAAGGGAAACCGAUAAGUAUCCCACCUGGGGAGUACGUCCGCAAGGAUG
This 370-nucleotide ribosomal RNA is filed under the name uncultured organism. RNAcentral's name for it is "bacterial SSU rRNA". It matches the Rfam family "Bacterial small subunit ribosomal RNA", at positions 526 to 896 of the family's 1533-position model. The record is from RNAcentral.